GGCAACUUGGCCGAGUGGUCUAAGGCGACGCACUCAAGGAUUACCCUUCCCCUUCGGAAAACAGGGGCUGCAUUGCGUUCUCGCAAGAGGCGUGAGUUCGAAUCUCACAGUUGUCA
Molecule: non-coding RNA, 116 nt
Organism: Corynascus novoguineensis
Lineage: Eukaryota; Fungi; Ascomycota; Sordariomycetes; Sordariales; Chaetomiaceae
Source: the annotation of a GenBank genome assembly